UCUAGUUUUUUGUCCCUUAGACGUUUGUUUCCUCUCUAUUUAGCUGAAAUCAUAAUCUCUCUCAAAUCCUCUAAAAUUACUCGAUUCUAAACCCAAUAUCUCUCAAAUCGAUCAUCUUCCUUCCUUCUCCUCUAAAUUCUCUUUCCAAUUCCUCCACUUUCACAUCUGUUUUGCUGAGAAUGCUUCCCAAAUCGAUUGAAACCCUAAAUUUCUGUUCUAAGCUCUUUUUCGAUCUAAUCCCAAAUUCAAAACCCUAAUCUCUGUGAGAAACACUAAUCUCUGUGAGAAACACUAAUCUCUGAGGGCUGGCCGUGUAAGGAAGAAAGGAGGAGGAGGUGCGUCCGUCGCAACGAAGAGGACAUGCGGCGGUUCUCCUUCCGUCAUCAGAACUCCAUCGCCUCUACAACGUGUAGCUAUUCUCUCGACCGAGAUCGAGGAAGUGUCGUAACGCCAAGUGCAAAGGGUUGAAGAAGGCUAUGGAGUUUGAUUUUCAGCUGCAGACGGAGGAAUCCAAUCGGGAUCAGCUAAGGAGAUUGAUUGGUUACUUUGGAAAGGAGGCAGCAAGAACAAUCCUGGUUACGAGUGUUUGAGAGCUGAGCUGAGGAGGAUGGCUCCACCUAAUGGUCGAGCUGUGUUGGGGGGAGAAGCCGGCGUCAUAAAAAUUCUUGGCCCUCACGUGCACUUAUCAGGGUUGAAGUUUUAUCAACAAAUCCAACAAGAAAUUUGUAUGAACACAAGAAGUUAUGCCAUGGCUAAUCCAAAGGAGUACUUCAAGGACAAAGGUCCAAAUGGUCUAGAAAAGGUAUCUAAGUGAUAUAGAUGUUGGUCUGAGGGAAAUGGAGUCAAGAAGAGUUGGUCUGAGGGAAAUGGAGUCAAGAAGAGUUGGAAUAAGCUGAGGCCAUAGCAUUCAUAUCGGUCAGAGUUAAGCCGAUAUAUAGGCCGGUGUAGAGGGGUUAAAAUUUCAACCUCUACACCGCCUAAAACAUGACCGGUGUGGGCAUUCAAUUUGGCCAAGUCCCUCUAACAAGAAGCCAUAUCGAGGAGGAAGUGACCGGUGCCAUAGACUGGUGUGGAGAGGUCCAAAGUUGCAAAGAUAUUGCGACCAACAUAUCAGAUGAAAGUUGUCUGAUAUGAAUGUGGCAUAACUCCUUUACCAGUGGUUCAUAGGGUGGCUCAGUCAUAGUCAAGGCUCCAACUGCAUCCAGCUGUUCCACACCACCCAAAAGGAGCCUUAUCUUCACCAAUAUGGGUUAUCUCUUUACACAUUUCUCCUCCUUUUUGCAAAGAAAUCGAUUUUCUCUUUGGUAUAACUUGCUUACACUAGCAUAGAAACCUAUUUUCUUUCUCUUUUCUGAGUCUAAAUAGUUUCUUGCAUCAUCUUGUUCAAUCCCAAGGUAACGUUUUGAAAAUCUUGCAUAUCAUCUUCUAAGAAAAUUAUCGAUGUGUUUUUGAAAUAUUUUUGAAGAAAUUUUCUUGAAAUUGUUGAUGCAUUGCUUAAACUGAUAUAGAUCCUUGGGAUUUAGGAUGGAAUCAGUUAAGAAAGAACUCAUUUGUGCUUAUUUGAUUCUUGGAUUUGGAUUCUCACUCUUUGGAUUUAUUGUUCUUGAGUUGAAUUUCUGAUUUUUAAGAAAUCUUUGUUGAGUUAAAAACUCUUGGUUGAAUUUAUAACUUCAUGAAUUGUUCUUACUUAAUCAUGACUAUUAAUUCCACUCUUGAAUUCAUUACAAGCAAAAAUUUUCUUUAAAAACCAUAGAGAUAUUAUCUUUUCUUGGAAACUCAUUCCUUUGUUUGAGAUUUUGUUGGUAUAUGCACAAUGGCAAGAAGAAAAGGACAUUUGACACUACCAACACUGCCAAGAAAAGAUAAAGAGAAGAUUGUGGGUUCUAGUUCAUAUGGCAAAGAGAAGAUGAUCGGUUCUGGUUAUAAAGAGUUAGGAGAGAUGCCAUGAGAUCUCCAUCAAAUCAGUCCAGCAACCCUUCUUACUCAAUGUGGUCAUGUCCAUCACUUAGUUACAGAGAUAAAUCAACCCUGCUCAGAUCUUGUGUCAACUUCAAGUAAUUAAAGCAAUCAACUGAUCCAAAGAAAAAAUAACUAACAAUAUAUUUAAUACCAUAGAGAGUGAAAACAUUUUGGGCAUCUAUUGUGCAAUUGGUAAAUAUUUUUUUUGAUCCUUAUAACUAUUAUGAAGAAAAUAUAAAAUUAUUUUAAUGGCAAUUACAUUCCAAAAAAAAACUUCAUUUGAUUCAUGUUGUUUCAAGGAUCACUAUAACUAUUAGUAGUGUGUUUCUUAAACAAGGAAGAUACAUGAACAAGAUUAAC
Molecule: long non-coding RNA, 2319 nt
Organism: Eutrema salsugineum
Lineage: Eukaryota; Viridiplantae; Streptophyta; Magnoliopsida; Brassicales; Brassicaceae
Exons: 6
Source: RefSeq, a predicted model, not a curated record